ACCUCUUUCCUCCGAACUGAGAACAUGCCCGAUCUCGUCUGAUAUUGGAAGCUAAGCAGGGUCAGACCUGGUUAAUACUUGGAUGGGAGACCACCUGGGAAUACUGGGUGCUAUAGGCU
Molecule: non-coding RNA, 119 nt
Organism: Podarcis lilfordi (Lilford's wall lizard)
Lineage: Eukaryota; Metazoa; Chordata; Lepidosauria; Squamata; Lacertidae
Source: the annotation of a GenBank genome assembly